This 237-nucleotide ribosomal RNA is filed under the name Glomeromycotina sp. RNAcentral's name for it is "partial small subunit ribosomal RNA". The stretch from base 40 to 237 matches the Rfam family "Eukaryotic small subunit ribosomal RNA", at positions 686 to 886 of the family's 1831-position model. The record is from RNAcentral. Lineage: Eukaryota; Fungi; Glomeromycota.
GGGUCAGUAGGUUGGUCGUGCCACCGGUACGUACUGGUCUCACUGAUUCCUCCUUCCUGAAGAACCGUAAUGCCAUUAAUUUGGUGUUGCGGGGAAACAGGACUGUUACUUUGAAAAAAUUAGAGUGUUUAAAGCAAGCUAACGCUUGAAUACAUAGCAUGGAAUAAUGAAAUAGGACGAUCGAUCCUAUUUUGUUGGUUUCUAGGAUUGACGUAAUGAUUAAUAGGAAUAAUUGGG